AUGCCCUUUGGAAACAAAAUGAAAAUGUUUACAUAGAAUACUGAGAGUUUUAAAGACUUGUAUUUUUAUUGAUGAAGCAGACACGUUUAAGUGAAAGUAGACAGUUUUGUUUCUGUAGAAACAUUUAGCACAAAACACAAGUAUGGCAUUGUCAGCGCCUUGUUCAGCCAGUUGACAUACAGCUACUAGUGCACUCCUGGGCACUUUAGACUGAGGAACAAAAUUAGGGCAUAGAUGCAUCUCCAAGUCAGCCCUUGAAUAAGUACACCUAAUUCCAUAUACAUAUGGCGCCAUCUGCUGGAUAGCAGUAAAACAUGUGCACGAGUACCUUUGAAACACAAGCUGCAAGUUAUCAUAAAUAAACAUAAAGCAUGAUUUUGACCUAAACAUGAUUUAUGGCUGCUGUUCAAAAGUCUGGGGAUGUAAUCCAAAACACUUCCUGUCAAACUUGAACGCGAAUUGCUCCUCGUGCCCCUCUAGCUGUGCGCUCAGUGUGAGAAACAAACAUAGCGGCUUGGACCGAGACGUAAACAAUUACAGCCAAUCAGCACAUAGCUUCAAGAGCCUGAGAGGCAGUGAUGUAUUUUGAGCUCAAAUAUCAACAACCUUUCACCAGAGUUGCAGACUCUAACUUUAAGGGCAGUUAGGCAGUUGUUCAGAAAAGGCCAUUUGGAAAGACCAUUUUCAUGAGGAAACCCCAUUUGACACCAUCCCACAUUAGGAAUGUUUAGCUGAGCUACAUUUAGCUCAUUUGUUAGUCCUCACCUCCAUGGUGAGGAAACAGAGAAGACAUACACUUUUUUAAACAUCAUACUAUGUGCAGAAACCUUACAGCCCUGCAGUAGCUGUACAGACAUAGAAAUGGAGGCUCCAUCAGCAGCAUGGCCAUUACCAUAGAAUACACACAAUUUAGCAUCAUGGCCAUUACCAUAGAAUACACACAAUUCAGCAUCAGAUAACUGGUUACAAUGGCCAUUACCAUAGAAUACACACAAUUCAGCAUCAGAUAACUGGUUACAAUGGUUAAGGUAAGACUAAAUAUAUCCCUAAACAUAUACA
Molecule: long non-coding RNA, 1059 nt
Organism: Clupea harengus (Atlantic herring)
Lineage: Eukaryota; Metazoa; Chordata; Actinopteri; Clupeiformes; Clupeidae
Source: Ensembl